GAUGAACGCUAGCUACAGGCUUAACACAUGCAAGUCGAGGGGCAGCAUUUCUUUAGCAAUAAAGAAGAUGGCGACCGGCGCACGGGUGAGUAACACGUAUCCAAUCUGCCUUUUACUCGGGGAUAGCCUUUCGAAAGAAAGAUUAAUACCCGAUGGUAUAUAGUUUCCGCAUGGAGAUUAUAUUAAAGAAUUUCGGUAAAAGAUGAGGAUGCGUUCCAUUAGAUUGUUGGUAGGGUAACGGCUUACCAAGUCUACGAUGGAUAGGGGUUCUGAGAGGAAGGUCCCCCACACUGGUACUGAGACACGGACCAGGCUCCUACGGGAGGCAGCAGUGAGGAAUAUUGGUCAAUGGGCGAGAGCCUGAACCAGCCAAGUAGCGUGAAGGAUGACUGCCCUAUGGGUUGUAAACUUCUUUUAUAUGGGAAUAAAUGACAUUACGUGUAGUGUUUUGUAUGUACCAUUAUGAAUAAGCAUCGGCUAACUCCGUGCCAGCAGCCGCAGUAAGAC
This 507-nucleotide ribosomal RNA is filed under the name uncultured bacterium. RNAcentral's name for it is "bacterial SSU rRNA". It matches the Rfam family "Bacterial small subunit ribosomal RNA", at positions 28 to 526 of the family's 1533-position model. The record is from RNAcentral.